This 83-nucleotide transfer RNA is filed under the name Candidatus Aenigmatarchaeota archaeon. RNAcentral describes it as "tRNA-Ser". It matches the Rfam family "tRNA". Rfam says of the family: Transfer RNA (tRNA) molecules are approximately 80 nucleotides in length. Lineage: Archaea; Nanobdellati; Candidatus Aenigmatarchaeota. The record is from RNAcentral.
GCUGAGGUAGCCAAGUGGUUACGGCGCAGGUUUGCUAAACCUGUGGGCGAAAGCCCUCGAGGGUUCAAAUCCCUCUCCCAGCG